UGUAAGUUCUCGGCAUGGCAAAGACUGGAGUAUUAGCUCGGCUAGGUUUCAAGUCUUUGGGGCACUCUUCUUCAACUUUCAUCAGUAAGUUAUGGUUACUACUCGCUCCUCUUUCGUUCUUCCUGCUAAGCCUGUUACCAAGGAUCCCUUGGAUCCGAGUGUAGGCUCCUCUGGUACUAUGCUAGACCAGCCACCCAAUUAGCCGUAGUGAAACCUUCUGGGGACUAUAUAAUCCCUCCCGAGCCUGAGGAGUCUGCUUCCUCUUCUUAUGAAACUUCUAGUAGCUCGAGCUUGGGCAGUGGCUCUGGGUCUGAGUCUACUGAGGAAACCGUGGUGUCAGAUGUUCACGUUAGGGUAGGUCCCAAUGUUGCAUCUUCUAAUGAGCCCCCCAAGGUAGAUGUGAGGGAGACUUCUGCUACAGCAGCGGCAAGGGCCGAAGCUUCAGGCGAAGGGGAAGCUAAGAGUUAUGAAGGGGAAGGGUUGGCAUCCUUCUUUGAUGAAGCGAGGACUACUUCGUCCACUGGGAGUAUUUUGACAGUAAAAGUUUUGAACCUGAUAAGGAAACGGUUCAGCAUUCCCGACUAUGUGGUGAUGAGGGUCCUUGAUGAGGGAUAGACAAUAAACACUCACGGGGACGAGGUGGCAUUGUACAUCGCUGGCUUUCAAUGUGGCCUCAGGAUCCCUAUUCUCGAGCUGGUGCUCGGCUCUGGAUUACUGGGGGAUUGCACCGAGCCAAUUAGUGCCGAACUCCUGCUGGAUUUUGCUUAGCUUCGAAGUCUUCGUAUCGAAGAUAGUGUGACGCGACUCUGGAUACAUUUUGACAAUACUUCAUUAUGAACAGACAUCGCUCCGGGUGGUAUUACUUUACCCGUAGGAACAGAGAUGGGUCAUAUGGGACUUUACAAAUGUUUACCCAUAUGCUUUCAUCUGUGAAGAACUGGAAGGAUCGGUUCUUCUAUGUGGUAAUGUCCGGUAAUCCCUUCAAGGGGGCCUAGACCAGGAAGAGCCUUACAAAACUGAACCAACCUCCUACCCUUCGCGAAAGUGAUCUCAAGACUGCCCAAAUGCGCUUAGACGGGGAGGUGGUGGACGUCCGAGAUCUGUCCGACGAAGAUUUUCUUCGAGAGUGGGAGCUCAGUGAAGUUCUGAAGGAGGUGGUGAAUGUGGCGAUUGAUCCCUCCAAGCUUGUUAUGGCAUCGGCACAAGCUCAGAAAGUGCAUGCUAUCAAAUAGGCAGCAAAAAGGUUAGUAGAGAAGGGGAAGAGAGUCGUUGGUGGGCCGGUUGGAGCCACCAAGACUGCCCCUAUAGUGAUUGAGCCACAGGCCAAGAAAGUGAAGAGCCCUCAAGCUAAGGUUUUGGCACAGCGUGGCGCGCCGAGUAAAGGUAAGAUGGUAACUCCUACCCCCAAUCCCAGCUGGGGUCAAAGGUGGAAGUUUGGGGAAGACACCACCCCCUGCAUCACUUCAUCCUUCCAAGGAACAGGGGGAAUGUAAGAGGUAUCGUGAGGAUCAGUUGCCUGGCUGCUUUGAUGCAAAUGGCCAGACUAAACCCUCAGGGAUGGUGCUGAUGCAGGCACCUAGCAUAGGGCGUAGGCCUCUCGCAUGGGAUAUACUCGAUGAGAUGGCCACCAUCACCAAUGUUAAUGAUGCUCAAACCUUUGGCAAUUGGGGCCAUCUCCUUGUCGAUAUGGAGUACGUGAGGAAUAUUCUAGACGUGCAGUUCACCAAGCAACUCUACUAUCACAUUGGUGACGUGAGUUACUUUUAUUUAUUUACUUAUUUUUGGUAUCGAGCCUGUUUUGAAGCAAGGGUAUAACUGGUCGAUGGAGACGACUUGUCAGUUUGAACGGAUGGCGCACGCUUGUAUGAAGGUCGAGACAAAGACAGAAAGGAUCGAGGGGGAGCUGUUGAAGGUUUUGGGUCAGCUAGAGAUGACUAGUAAGAAAGCCCACGUUGCAGAAGAUAAGACCGAUGUUGCAGAGAAAAGGGCGGAGGACCUAUUGGCUUAGAUGGCCAAGAAACUCUAAGUGAACAGUAACUUGGUGAAGGCUAAGGAGGAGCUCCAGGUUGAAGUCACUGAGACCCAGGAAAGAUUGAAAAAGCUAAAAGAGGAGCACGCUGCUCAGAUGAGAGUGUUAGUGGAAAAGCAUCAAGCUGAGUUAAAGGUUGCAUUGGGGAAUGCAGGGGAGAGGUAGGUCACUACUUCGGAAGGGCAAGCAUGGUUGAUUGGUCUGAACACCACUUCAUUCAACCUUGGCUCGGACACCACGGUAAUUUUUUCUCUGGGCAAGUGUCCCUCCUUCAACUUUUCUAACUAUGAGCACUACGUUGCUCCUCCUCUUGAGUCUCCGGUGCAGCCUGUUGGUCCAGAUGAUCACGAGGAAGAAGUGAACCAAGAAUCUGAAACUGAGGUCGCCGUCCCGAAGAAGGAUGGCAAGUGAAGUGGAGUCAAGCUCUCCCCCCCCCCCCUUUUUUUUUCUUAUCUGUGUGGGCGUAAAGUCGCCAUUUGUAAACAAUUUUCAUCUUCUCUCUUUUGUAAUCAAGAACCUUUGUACAUCCAAUUUUUGGUGUUAAUGGAAAGAAUUUCUUUACACAA
Macadamia integrifolia is the source of this 2595-nucleotide long non-coding RNA. RefSeq lists it as uncharacterized. NCBI's taxonomy places the organism in Eukaryota, Viridiplantae, Streptophyta, Magnoliopsida, Proteales, Proteaceae. The record is from RefSeq and is a predicted model, not a curated record. The transcript has 2 exons.